This 478-nucleotide ribosomal RNA is filed under the name uncultured organism. RNAcentral's name for it is "partial 16S ribosomal RNA". It matches the Rfam family "Bacterial small subunit ribosomal RNA", at positions 331 to 800 of the family's 1533-position model. The record is from RNAcentral.
GUACACUCCUGCGGGAGGCAGCAGUGGGGAAUUUUGGACAAUGGGGGCAACCCUGAUCCAGCAAUGCCGCGUGAGUGAAGAAGGCCUUCGGGUUGUAAAGCUCUUUUGUCAGGGAAGAAACGGUGGUGGCGAAUAACUACUACUAAUGACGGUACCUGAAGAAUAAGCACCGGCUAACUACGUGCCAGCAGCCGCGGUAAUACGUAGGGUGCAAGCGUUAAUCGGAAUUACUGGGCGUAAAGCGUGCGCAGGCGGUUGUGUAAGUCAGAUGUGAAAUCCCCGGGCUCAACCUGGGAAUUGCAUUUGAGACUGCACGGCUAGAGUGUGUCAGAGGGGGGUAGAAUUCCACGUGUAGCAGUGAAAUGCGUAGAUAUGUGGAGGAAUACCGAUGGCGAAGGCAGCCCCCUGGGAUAACACUGACGCUCAUGCACGAAAGCGUGGGGAGCAAACAGGAUUAGAUACCCCAGUAGUCCCAUGA